CAGGAACCUGAGGCUUCUGUCUUGCAUUUUUGUUUUUGCAGAUUGCAUUAAGUAUUUCUCAUGACUCUGAAGAAUUAGCCCAGCCCAUCUUGACUGCGGUACAAACAGGAAAUGAAAACCCCACAGUCAGAGGAUACACCUGCCAAAGGCUGGUUGAGCAGCUGUGGCCCUCACCCAUGGUUGAGUGCAAAAGCAGAAGCAUCAAGUGCUAAGUGCAGACUGAGCACUGUUUCUUCUCAAAGCUUUGGAGGCUGGAUGGUCUGCAAAGACAAGUAGACUAAGCCUCAAGCUGAAAGAACUCCAAACAGGAAUCCCUCAAUAAGUAAAUUCUAAAUACAGAAAGAUAGCAUGUUGCUCAGCAGCACUUGCUAUCUUAUAAAAUACUUUUUAUAUCACCAAAUCCCCAGAUUUUCCCAUCAAAUGGAACUGUACAGUUCACUGUCCCAGAGCUGCAGACCCUUGAAACAGUGAAGUCCUCAACCACCUUUCAAGCUGGCUUCUGUGAAGCUGAAUCCGUGGAAGACUCCAUCGAUUUGGGGAGAAUUAUGCUGAUAUCAACUUGUCUCUGUGGAACAUUGUGAUUUUGACAAAUCAGCAGAUUCCUGUUGAAGUGUUUGUAAUUUUUUAUUGGUUGUAAUUAUAGUGCUGUAGUUAUUGAUUACUUUCACCCAGAGAGAGAAGCAUAUCUAAUUACAAAGUGAUUAAGUUAGCCUAGUAACUGUCUCAGUAGUGGUCUGCUCAGAAUGAUUUCUUAUGGGAGCGCUUUAUGGUGACAGCUGGCAGUGGCUGCAGUGAGACAGCUGACUGCAAAGUUUGUUCAGGUUAGCUUUAGUUCAUUAAAAUAGUAUGGUUGGUUGCUUGCAAGCCGUAUUUAAGUUCUUUGUGCAGGUCCAGUUUGUCAGGUCAAAGCUAAUUAAAAUAAAACCACAGACUAUUGGAAAUGGAGAACA
Molecule: long non-coding RNA, 950 nt
Filed under: Apteryx rowi (Okarito brown kiwi)
Lineage: Eukaryota; Metazoa; Chordata; Aves; Apterygiformes; Apterygidae
Description: lncRNA (ENSARWG00000013913.1)
Source: RNAcentral